GUGUCAGCAGCCGCGGUAAUACGGAGGGUGCAAGCGUUAUCCGGAUUCACUGGGUUUAAAGGGUGCGUAGGUGGGCAGGUAAGUCAGUGGUGAAAUCCUGUAGCUUAACUACAGAACUGCCAUUGAUACUAUCUGUCUUGAAUACCCUGGAGGUGAGCGGAAUAUGUCAUGUAGCGGUGAAAUGCUUAGAUAUGACAUAGAACACCCAUUGCGAAGGCAGCUCACUACGGGAAUAUUGACACUGAGGCACGAAAGCGUGGGGAUCAAACAGGAUUAGAAACCCGGGUAGUCC
This 292-nucleotide ribosomal RNA is filed under the name uncultured bacterium. RNAcentral's name for it is "partial 16S ribosomal RNA". It matches the Rfam family "Bacterial small subunit ribosomal RNA", at positions 505 to 796 of the family's 1533-position model. The record is from RNAcentral.